RNAcentral lists this long non-coding RNA (2422 nucleotides) under Sus scrofa (pig). Its description in RNAcentral is "lncRNA (ENSSSCG00000056084.1)". The record is from RNAcentral. Lineage: Eukaryota; Metazoa; Chordata; Mammalia; Artiodactyla; Suidae.
CGAUGGGAGAGGCACUUCCGGGGCUUCCACAGACCACCAAGGCUUUAUUUCCUAACCUGGGGAGUAUUGGCACAUAAAUGUUUGCUUCAUUACUAUUGGAAUUAUGCGCGUUGAAUAUAUUCUUCUGAUUCUAGUUCUCAAUUUCCAAAAAAAAAAAGUCAAAUUUGAAUUACUUAGUUCUGGCCUUUCAAUAAUGCAGGCUGUUGGUGCCCAGCUCAUUCAACUGUGGAUUCUCUUUCAGAAGAUCUAAAUCUAGCCCAGAAAUCUAUAUGUUAAUAUCUUCCCUGGUGAUUUUUGGUGUUUCUGUCACUUGAAACUGCUGCAAGUUGGAGUGAGCAAGAGUUGGUGUGAUACCUCUUAGUGUAGAGACAGAUGCAGGGAGGGCCGAGAGCAUAAAGCAGCCCACCCUGGCACAUCUGCAGACAGCCACCCCCAUCCCCCAAAUCCUUAAGUUCCCUUUAUACAAAAGUCUAGUAUGUAACUUAUAUCUCUGUAUCCUUUCUAUAACUUGAAAAUGUGGAGUCCUGUAAUGCAAACUCCCAGUGCCUCUCAGCUGCAAUAGAGGCCCUCCAACUUGUAAAUCCGCAAGGCAUUGAACAUCUGGACAGAGCAUGUGCCUUGGAAAAAGUGUGCUUCUUGGUAUCCAUGGUGUCUGCAGCAAAGCAAAACUGUGCAAGGGGUGGAAUAUGGAAACACGUUGGACAGAACCCUUAUUAAAGGGUGUAAAGUGUCACUGAGAGCCUCUGCUCUUUUACUGCAGGAGGGUUAUAAAUAUUAAUAAGGGCCUUCGUGAGUUCUCUCAUCACAUGGGUUUCCCCCAACUGUUUUUUCCAUAAAGUCUUAAGUUGCGAAUCCUCCUGGUAUUUGGAAAGGAAUACAGUAAAAUCAGGAAAUAGAGCAGAAUCGGUCCACAUACACGCCAGCCUUUGGGUCCCAAGUCACUCUCAAAGAUGUGUCCCCACCCGCAAGUCUGCUCACUUUGAAGCCUUCCUCAAGCAUUCUUCCAAGCCCUGGGAUUCUCUUUGGUAUUAGAAACUGACGUAAGCCAACAUGUCAGAGUCCUGGUAACUCUCGGGGGCCUCCAACUAUCAGAGGUGGGCAAGCUGAAUUCUCUCCCCUUCAUGCUGGCUACCACAUGGGCAGAGUUCCUACUGCGGCUCAGUGGGUUAAGAACCCAGCCGGUAUCCAUGAGGAUGCAGGUUCAAUCCCUGGCCUUGCUGCGAGCUGUGGUGUAGGUUGCAGAUGUGGCUUGGAUCUGACAUUGCUAUGGCUGUGGCAUAGGCUGGCAGCUACAGCUUUGAUUUGUCUUCUAGCCUGCGGACGUCCAUAGGCCGUGGGUGCAGCCCCAAAAAGAAAAAAAAAUGUCCUCGCCCUAUCUCUUGAUGCACUUUCGUGGGGAAUGUAAGGAUGUGUGGACAGUAGGAUUGUACUGAGAAAGCAGGAUUACAUUCUUUGCUAAGUGUGUGCAAUGGGAGGCAGGAAGGAGUUGCAGGUCCUUUCUGAGUUCCAGACUAAAAGGUUCUGAAGGUCUUAGAUGGCCGGGCUUGCCAAAUUCUUAUGCCCCAUUUCAGUGAGAACAGAGAUACCUGUGUGUUCCUGGCCAGUCACAUAUUUUAGACUAGACUCAUUUCACCAGUGGCAAGGUAGUUUUGAUGUACUGCUUUUAGGGGGUAGAAACUCAUUCCCAGAGGCUGUGCUCACUUCACUCCUUUGCUGGCAGAGGAGUAGAGGAGGGGAGAUGCUCUCCCCCAGUCCUCAAACAGGAGACAUGGAGAAGCUGGAGCUUCCUUAGGGGCCACUGGCCUUCCCCUGUGGGAUUUGGGCAUUAGCUUUGUCCCACUCUACUCCCUGUGCCCAGGCAUGCUGUUGAGGCCUGAAGAGUGCUUCAGGGCAUCACCCAGUUCCCCAGGAGGCUAAGCUCACCUGGUGUGGGGACCUAUAGUGGCUGCCUAUGUUGUUACAUCCUGCUAAUUUGGGGGCCUCCAAUGAAUGCCGCCUCCCAGGAUUCACAUCUGGUGUAGUGCUGGCCCUGCCGCAUGCUUUUAACUACAGAAUAUAGCAAAGGCAGUGUGGUGGCAGUUCUGAGCCAAAGCCUUCAGGAAGACUAGCUGCUUCUCCUUUUUAACUGUGGGAAGCGCUUGGCUACUUUGCCAGAGUGAUAUUGUCAGGUGACUGCAUGGAGAGAAGGAGCCAGAGGACCAAACUCUGUGGAGAAGGGGAAGCUUAACCUCAGCCCCCAGCUGAACGAGCUUCACAAGACUAGCAAGACCAGCUGAAGACCUGCCCAGAGGCUCAGCCAAGAUGGAAGAAUCAGGAGCAAAUCAAAUGGCAGUGGUUUUGGAGUUCCCAUUGUGGCUCAGUGGUAACAAAACCUGAAUGGUAUCCGUGAGGAUGCAGGUUCCACCCCUGUCCUCACUUAGUG